Non-coding RNA from Pelobates cultripes (western spadefoot toad), 450 nucleotides. Lineage: Eukaryota; Metazoa; Chordata; Amphibia; Anura; Pelobatidae. The record is from the annotation of a GenBank genome assembly.
GUGAGUGAGUGUGUGUCUGUUAAUGUGUGAGUGUGUGUGUCUGCUAGUGAGUGAGUGUGUGUCUGACUGUCAGUGAGUGUGUGUUUGCCUGUGAGUGUGUGUCUGUUAGUGUGUGUGUCUGUUAGUGUGAGUGUGUGUCUGUUAAUUUGUGUGUGUUUGUUAGUGUGUGUGUGAGUUUGUGUGUGUGUGUCUGCUAGUGAGUGUUAGUGUGUAUGUGUGUGUCUGACUGUGUGUCAGUGAGUGUGUGUGUGUCUGCUAGUGAGUGUGUGUGUCAGUGAGUGUGUGUCUGUUAAUGUGUGUUUGUUAGUGUGUGUGAGUUUGUGUGUGUGUCUGCUAGUGAGUGUGUGUCUGUUAGUGUGUGUGUCUGACUGUUUGUCUGUUAGUGUGUAUGUGUGUGUCUGACUGUGUGUCAGUGAGUGUGUGUGUGUAUGUGUCUGACUGUGUGUGUGU